AAUGCCUUCGAAUAACUAAACAAUCAUACAAUGUUGUUUAGUUCAGACAGAGGCAAAUAUCAAUUAUUAUUAUAUAUCUGAAUUUGUUUGAGGGUGUGGAAUUUUUUUAAUACCGUUCCAUUCCUAGAUAUAUUCGGAUAUUC
Non-coding RNA from Cicer arietinum (chickpea), 143 nucleotides. The record is from Rfam. Lineage: Eukaryota; Viridiplantae; Streptophyta; Magnoliopsida; Fabales; Fabaceae.